Molecule: long non-coding RNA, 2154 nt
Organism: Lolium rigidum
Lineage: Eukaryota; Viridiplantae; Streptophyta; Magnoliopsida; Poales; Poaceae
Exons: 5
Source: RefSeq, a predicted model, not a curated record
CAUGGUCCUGCUUUCCGUGAUUGGAUGGAUGCUAUCAACGCUCGCUCCAUUGAGGAUCACCUGGCAGAUGAGUUCUCAACCAUGAUGCUCCAUUUGAUGUGUUCAUAUUUUACUUGUGCCACCCGGCGACAAAGUGUUGGCUACUGUAUCACCACCACCUCUGAUUUUAGUCGUGAAAAGUUUUCCUCAGGACCAUUCUGUAGAAGUACUACUUUUCAUAGUUAUCUUAUUCCGUUCUCCUUUUCACUAAGUUACUUUCAGUAAAAACAGUUGCGUGGAGCUACUUAUAGUUAGAAUCAGUUAAUAUGUAUACAGUGUGGUCGUGUAACUCAGAUAAUUAAUAUCAAGCACAGGCGUAAAAGAAAUAACUUGAAUAUAGCAGUACAAUUAUUACAAAAAUGUCACAUGGACCGUGCAUAUUACACAAGGUUAAAAAGCUGAGUGGACAAUAAACUUUUUAUUUUGUAGAGACAUAAUUCAGACUAAUAGGACACCCGAAGUCAGGUUCGGACCACCAGAGCAAUCUGAGAGGCUUUACAGCCUCCCGAGCCGAAGGUUCGUGUAGUACCGUAUGGUCAGCCAUUGUCGUAGAAACGUCAUGACACGGGUUAGUAUAGAUAGACGAGUUGGGCCAAGUGUUAGACGAUAAGCUGCUAGCUCAGCAGCUACUGGCUCAAAGACAAUAUGGUUCUCGUCAGUUGAUUUCAAAACUCCUACAACAUUUAGAAAACAGAAAGGGUUAGAAUACUCAUGUAUAUUAACUAUUAAGCAGUUUAGUAAAGUAAACACUACAUUCUAACACACGUUGUGUCAUCUAGCAGGUGUAAACUGCAACUUACUACAAUUUGAUGAUAUAGCGCAAUAUCGUAGACUCCAAUUAGUGAUCAGAAAAAUGUGUGUCAGUUCUUGUGUACGUUGUUGCUGUACUGUAAAGAUGCCUCUCAAUGCUUGCCUCUCAUUAUCGAUGAAAAGCUUUGACUUCAGUUUGGUGAGUAGCCCAUACAGAGAAGUGGGUUGCAAUAUUAACUUGUAUGAACCAGAACCUAUAUCUGGGAGUUUAAAAGUGUGUUAGAUUUUUAGUUGCAUUAUGUGUUCCCAUGGUCAUGCAUCUGCUGUGGUGUCUGCAUUAUAAGAUCAUAUGUCAUACCUAUUGGUGUCUGAUCAACUGAAUUUUGUAGGUCUUCCUGUUGCUUACCAAGAAAUUUUGAAGAGCAGAUCGAUUUAGUGUGGCAAUUCUGUAAACAUGCUGGCAGUGUUCCUUCCAUGGCUUUCAACUUCCGCUUCAUCCCAUGAACAUGAAGAUAUUCGUAACUGCUUAUGUAAAAUAGUACCUGAAGAGAAACUUCUUCAGCAGGUUGUAUUUACUUGGAUCAAAGGGAAAGCAAGCAGAGAAGUGGUGCAGGGUAGAAGUCAUAGCUGCAAAGAUGCCUCCGUUGUUGAUCAAGCUGAUGUUUCUGCCACUCUAGGAGUUCAUGUAUGAGAUAACUUUCAGAAGCUACUCCAGGAGUAGAGUAUACCUGCAUUUUGACUAUGAUCGUCCUCUUCUUCUUCAUGUAUGUUGAGGUCCUCUUCUGGUGGAGGAGUGCAAUUGAGGUCCAAAAUUGAUAGUGCCAUUCUUGCUGAUGCCAUUUUAUUGCUGAUCCAGAUUUUAUUACUGGACAAUGGCUGUCUUCGAUACAAUCUGGAGAUAAGUAGUGUAUAAGCGAGCUGUCGCUUCAGCAGUAAGGAGACGCCGUAGCAACAACACAUAAUAGUGCUCACAGAUCAGGGUGCAUAGGAGUAACUCAUACACGCAAUUCCUACAGAUUACAAUGGAGGGGCGAAAGACCGAGAUACUACUUUUGUCGAAUGCAUGCAGGAGAAAGAAAUACACUACUUCCUCCGAUUCAAAUGAUGGGGAAUUCGCUCUGAUGACAACCAAUUUCAGAUGGGCAUACAGCUUAGAGGUGUGAUUACGUACCUUCACUCUCCUUGAUGAUCCGAACACAGAUUGUAAACUCUCCCAGAUGAUCCAUACACCUUUGUAUUAAAGGUGUGAUUAUAGGAGGUCUCUCGCCCAGCCAUGCUUGAGGGUACCCUUUAUAUGCACUCACCAAGAAAUCUGAUGGACUUCUCUGGUUUGGAGAUGUGAAAUUGUAGAGAUCCGGGGCAAGU